GAUGAACGCUGGCGGCGUGCCUAAUACAUGCAAGUCGAGCGAACAGACGAGGAGCUUGCUCCUCUGACGUUAGCGGCGGACGGGUGAGUAACACGUGGAUAACCUACCUAUAAGACUGGGAUAACUUCGGGAAACCGGAGCUAAUACCGGAUAAUAUAUUGAACCGCAUGGUUCAAUAGUGAAAGACGGUUUUGCUGUCACUUAUAGAUGGAUCCGCGCCGCAUUAGCUAGUUGGUAAGGUAACGGCUUACCAAGGCAACGAUGCGUAGCCGACCUGAGAGGGUGAUCGGCCACACUGGAACUGAGACACGGUCCAGACUCCUACGGGAGGCAGCAGUAGGGAAUCUUCCGCAAAGGGCGAAAGCCUGACGGAGCAACGCCGCGUGAGUGAUGAAGGUCUUCGGAUCGUAAAACUCUGUUAUCAGGGAAGAACAAAUGUGUAAGUAACUAUGCACGUCUUGACGGUACCUAAUCAGAAAGCCACGGCUAACUACGUG
RNAcentral lists this ribosomal RNA (497 nucleotides) under uncultured bacterium. RNAcentral's name for it is "partial 16S ribosomal RNA". It matches the Rfam family "Bacterial small subunit ribosomal RNA", at positions 28 to 507 of the family's 1533-position model. The record is from RNAcentral.